GUAAAUCGACUAGCAAGAAUAGGUAUUUGAUAGUCUCUUAAACACCAUAUUGUCAUCUCCAGAAAAAAUAAAUGCUUCGGUUUAAUGUGCGCCGUAGACACUUGAGCCUCAAAUACUUGUCCCAUUUUACUGUCAUAGAUGUUGAAUGCAAAAAUAUUGUGAUUAAUUUUUUUCUGUUGACUCACUUUUAUUCAUGGUGUUCUCCCUUUAGGUUCACUUUGCAAUUG
This 227-nucleotide unclassified non-coding RNA is filed under the name Hevea brasiliensis (rubber tree). Lineage: Eukaryota; Viridiplantae; Streptophyta; Magnoliopsida; Malpighiales; Euphorbiaceae. The record is from RNAcentral.